RNAcentral lists this ribosomal RNA (723 nucleotides) under Triticum aestivum (bread wheat). Its description in RNAcentral is "partial small subunit ribosomal RNA". The record is from RNAcentral. Lineage: Eukaryota; Viridiplantae; Streptophyta; Magnoliopsida; Poales; Poaceae.
AUGGAGCAGAGCAAGCCGUCCGUCUUCCUCGGCCUCCUCGUGCUCCUGGCCUGCGCCGGGUCGGGGCACGGCAUGCGCCUCCUCCACGACAUCGACGACAACGUCGGCGACGAGGAGUACGCCCGGGAGUUCGCGUUCGGCUCCAUGGCGGCCGCGGAGACCGAGACCGCGCCGCAGGGCGCGUCCUUGGACGACUACGAGGACGAGAUCAGCCGGGUGGAGUUCGAGCCGGGGCGCGGCGCGUCCUACGACGCCACGGUCGCCGCAGCCGCGCCCGGGCCUGCCCCGGGGCCAGCGACGGCGGGGAGCGACGCGGCCGCCGCAAGGACAGGCGCCAGCAGCAUGAAGUGGUGGCUGCCGCCGUCCACGAUGCCGUCCUUCCCGCUGUUCCCGAACCCCGGCGGCAUGCCCGGGAUGCCGAUUCCUGCCAUGCCCGUGCCUUUGCCCGCCCUCCCCGGGAUGCCCGCCAUGCCCAUGCCGGGGGGCAUGCCACUCCCUAUGCCAGGAGGCAUCCCGGGCGGCGGCAUGCCUAUGCCUAUGCCAGGAGGCAUCCCAGGGGGCGGCAUGCCGUUCAACUUCAAGCCGGAGGGAUGGGGCGGGGGCGCCGGCGCGGUGCCAUCGCCGCCCAGCCGUGCGCAGCCGACGCCUCCUGCCGCCAGCGCGAGCGACGGCGCCACCGACAGCAGCGGCGACAACCCCAACCCCAACGGGGCCAUCCACUGA